Molecule: ribosomal RNA, 253 nt
Filed under: uncultured bacterium
Lineage: Bacteria
Description: partial 16S ribosomal RNA
Rfam family: Bacterial small subunit ribosomal RNA
Source: RNAcentral
UACGUAGGUGGCAAGCGUUAUCCGGAUUUACUGGGUGUAAAGGGAGCGUAGACGGCGCGGCAAGUCUGAAGUGAAAGGCAGGGGCUUAACCCCUGAACUGCUUUGGAAACUGCCAUGCUAGAGUGCUGGAGAGGUAAGUGGAAUUCCUAGUGUAGCGGUGAAAUGCGUAGAUAUUAGGAGGAACACCAGUGGCGAAGGCGGCUUACUGGACAGUAACUGACGUUGAGGCUCGAAAGCGUGGGGAGCAAACAGG